This 500-nucleotide ribosomal RNA is filed under the name uncultured bacterium. Its description in RNAcentral is "partial 16S ribosomal RNA". It matches the Rfam family "Bacterial small subunit ribosomal RNA", at positions 30 to 523 of the family's 1533-position model. The record is from RNAcentral.
AUUGAACGCUGGCGGAAUGCUUUACACAUGCAAGUCGAACGGCAGCACGGACUUCGGUCUGGUGGCGAGUGGCGAACGGGUGAGUAAUGUAUCGGAGCGUGCCCAGUCGUGGGGGAUAACGUAGUGAAAAUUACGCUAAUACCGCAUACGAUCUAUGGAUGAAAGCGGGGGGUCGCAAAACCUCGCGCGAUUGUAGCGGCCGAUAUCAGAUUAGGUAGUUGGUGGGGUAAAGGCCCACCAAGCCAACGAUCUGUAGCUGGUCUGAGAGGACGACCAGCCACACUGGAACUGAGACACGGUCCAGACUCCUACGGGAGGCAGCAGUGGGGAAUUUUGGACAAUGGGCGAAAGCCUGAUCCAGCCAUUCCGCGUGCAGGAUGAAGGCCCUCGGGUUGUAAACUGCUUUUGUACAGAACGAAAAGGUUUCUACUAAUACUAGGAGCUCAUGACGGUACUGUAAGAAUAAGCACCGGCUAACUACGUGCCAGCCGCCGCAGUAA